Small nucleolar RNA from Gossypium arboreum, 107 nucleotides. It matches the Rfam family "Plant small nucleolar RNA R71". From Rfam's summary of the family: R71 is a member of the C/D box family of snoRNAs containing the C (UGAUGA) and D (CUGA) box motifs. The record is from Rfam. Lineage: Eukaryota; Viridiplantae; Streptophyta; Magnoliopsida; Malvales; Malvaceae.
AACCCAUGGUAAAGGCACCUUCUCAAUAAGUCCUUAUACCUCUCCCAUGGAUCGUAAAGAGUUUUUAAAUCCAUCUGCACAAAAUAAGAGAUAUCAUUCCUCAACUU